RNAcentral lists this ribosomal RNA (1501 nucleotides) under uncultured prokaryote. Its description in RNAcentral is "partial 16S ribosomal RNA". It matches the Rfam family "Bacterial small subunit ribosomal RNA". The record is from RNAcentral.
AGGGUUUGAUCCUGGCUCAGAACGAACGUUAGCGGUGUGGAUUAGGCAUGCAAGUCGUGCGCGAAAGCCUUCGGGCGAGUAAAGCGGCGAAAGGGUGAGUAACACGUAAUCAACCUACCCCGAAGAUCGGAAUAGCCAUCGGAAACGAUAGCUAAUGCCGGAUGGCCCAUUGGCAUCUUGGAAAUGGUAAACGGCGGCCCUGCCGCUGCUUUGGGAGGAGGUUGCGGACUAUUAGCUUGUUGGUGGGGUAACGGCCUACCAAGGCGAUGAUGGUUAGCGGGUCUGAGAGGAUGGUCCGUCACACUGGGACUGAGACACUGCCCAGACUCCUACGGGAGGCUGCAGUCGAGAAUCUUCCGCAAUGGGCGAAAGCCUGACGGAGCGACACCGCGUGCAGGAUGGUUGUAAACUGCUGUCACGUUUCUAGGAACCGUACAUUGUUAAUAGCAAUGUGCCUGACCAGGGCGAAAGGAAGCACCGGCUAACUCCGUGCCAGCAGCCGCGGUAAUACGGAGGGUGCAAACGUUGUUCGGAAUCACUGGGCAUAAAGAGCAUGUAGGCGGUCUAAUUAGUUGGGUGUGAAAUCCCUCGGCUCAACCGGGGAACUGCAUCCAAUACUGUUAGGCUUGAGGAUGGUUGGGGUGAGUGGAACUCCUGGUGGAGCGGUGAAAUGCGUAGAUAUCAGGAGGAACACCGGUGGCGAAGGCGACUCACUGGACCAUUACUGACGCUGAGAUGCGAAAGCUAGGGGAGCGAACGGGAUUAGAUACCCCGGUAGUCCUAGCCGUAAACGAUGGGUACUAGGCAGGGGGAUUACCUAUGGCCCUCUCUGUCGUAGCAAACGCACUAAGUUGACCGCCUGGGGAGUACGGCCGCAAGGUUAAAACUCAAAUGAAUUGACGGGGGCCCGCACAAGCGGUGGAGCAUGUGGUUUAAUUCGAAGCAACGCGAAGAACCUUACCUGGCCUUGACAUGUACGGAUUAACUCUGUGAAAGCAGAGCGACAGCCCUUCGGGGUCGGAACGUACACAGGUGUUGCAUGGCUGUCGUCAGCUCGUGUCGUGAGAUGUUGGGUUAAGUCCCGUAACGAGCGAAACCCUUAUUGUUAGUUGCCAGCGGGUAAUGCCGGGGACUCUAGCGAGACUGCCGUUGUUAAAACGGAGGAAGGUGGGGACGACGUCAAGUCAUCAUGGCCCUUAUGGCCAGGGCGACACACGUGCUACAAUGGCUUGUACAAAGGGAACCGAGACCGCGAGGUGGAGGCAAUCCCACAAAGCAAGCCCCAGUUCGGAUUGCAGGCUGAAAUUCGCCUGCAUGAAGUUGGAAUCGCUAGUAAUCGCGUAUCAGCCAUGACGCGGUGAAUAUGUUCCUGAUCCUUGUACACACCGCCCGUCAAGCCACGAAAGCGGGGAGCGCUCGAAGUCGCUUUGUCUAACCUUAGGGAGGACGGCGCCGAAAGUGAAUUCCGUGAUUGGGACUAAGUCGUAACAAGGUAACCGUA